This 292-nucleotide ribosomal RNA is filed under the name uncultured bacterium. RNAcentral's name for it is "partial 16S ribosomal RNA". It matches the Rfam family "Bacterial small subunit ribosomal RNA", at positions 505 to 796 of the family's 1533-position model. The record is from RNAcentral.
GUGUCAGCAGCCGCGGUAAUACGUAGGGUGCGAGCGUUGUCCGGAAUUAUUGGGCGUAAAGAGCUCGUAGGCGGUUUGUCGCGUCGGCCGUGAAAACUUGGGGCUUAACCCCGAGCCUGCGGUCGAUACGGGCAGACUUGAGUUCGGCAGGGGAGACUGGAAUUCCUGGUGUAGCGGUGAAAUGCGCAGAUAUCAGGAGGAACACCGGUGGCGAAGGCGGGUCUCUGGGCCGAUACUGACGCUGAGGAGCGAAAGCGUGGGGAGCGAACAGGAUUAGAUACCCCGGUAGUCC